Molecule: ribosomal RNA, 444 nt
Filed under: Micromonospora sp. 10C
Lineage: Bacteria; Bacillati; Actinomycetota; Actinomycetes; Micromonosporales; Micromonosporaceae
Description: bacterial SSU rRNA
Rfam family: Bacterial small subunit ribosomal RNA
Source: RNAcentral
CAUGCAAGUCGAGCGGAAAGGCCCUUCGGGGUACUCGAGCGGCGAACGGGUGAGUAACACGUGAGCAACCUGCCCCAGGCUUUGGGAUAACCCCGGGAAACCGGGGCUAAUACCGAAUAUGACCUCCGAUCGCAUGGUUGGUGGUGGAAAGUUUUUCGGCUUGGGAUGGGCUCGCGGCCUAUCAGCUUGUUGGUGGGGUGAUGGCCUACCAAGGCGACGACGGGUAGCCGGCCUGAGAGGGCGACCGGCCACACUGGGACUGAGACACGGCCCAGACUCCUACGGGAGGCAGCAGUGGGGAAUAUUGCACAAUGGGCGGAAGCCUGAUGCAGCGACGCCGCGUGAGGGAUGACGGCCUUCGGGUUGUAAACCUCUUUCAGCAGGGACGAAGCGUAAGUGACGGUACCUGCAGAAGAAGCGCCGGCCAACUACGUGCCAGCAGCC